GGGCUGCAGUGGGGAAUAUUGGACAAUGGGCGCAAGCCUGAUCCAGCCAUGCCGCGUGUGUGAAGAAGGCCUUCGGGUUGUAAAGCACUUUCAGCGAGGAGGAAGGGGUAGUAGUUAAUAGCUGCUACUUUUGACGUUACUCGCAGAAGAAGCACCGGCUAACUCUGUGCCAGCAGCCGCGGUAAUACAGAGGGUGCAAGCGUUAAUCGGAAUUACUGGGCGUAAAGCGCACGUAGGCGGUUCGUUAAGUUGGAUGUGAAAGCCCCGGGCUCAACCUGGGAAUUGCAUUCAAAACUGGCUAACUAGAGUAUGUGAGAGGGGGGUAGAAUUCCAAGUGUAGCGGUGAAAUGCGUAGAGAUUUGGAGGAAUACCAGUGGCGAAGGCGGCCCCCUGGCACAAUACUGACGCUGAGGUGCGAAAGCGUGGGGAGCAAACAGGAUUAGAUACCCGGGUAGUC
This 457-nucleotide ribosomal RNA is filed under the name uncultured Rheinheimera sp. RNAcentral's name for it is "bacterial SSU rRNA". It matches the Rfam family "Bacterial small subunit ribosomal RNA", at positions 346 to 795 of the family's 1533-position model. Lineage: Bacteria; Pseudomonadati; Pseudomonadota; Gammaproteobacteria; Chromatiales; Chromatiaceae. The record is from RNAcentral.